Molecule: ribosomal RNA, 484 nt
Filed under: uncultured bacterium
Lineage: Bacteria
Description: partial 16S ribosomal RNA
Rfam family: Bacterial small subunit ribosomal RNA
Source: RNAcentral
AUUGAACGCUGGCGGCAGGCCUAACACAUGCAAGUCGAGCGGAUGAAGGGAGCUUGCUCCUGGAUUCAGCGGCGGACGGGUGAGUAAUGCCUAGGAAUCUGCCUGGUAGUGGGGGAUAACGUCCGGAAACGGGCGCUAAUACCGCAUACGUCCUGAGGGAGAAAGUGGGGGAGCUUCGGACCUCACGCUAUCAGAUGAGCCUAGGUCGGAUUAGCUAGUUGGUGGGGUAAAGGCCUACCAAGGCGACGAUCCGUAACUGGUCUGAGAGGAUGAUCAGUCACACUGGAACUGAGACACGGUCCAGACUCCUACGGGAGGCAGCAGUGGGGAAUGUUGGACAAUGGGCGAAGGCCUGAUCCAGCCAUGCCGCGUGUGUGAAGAAGGUCUUCGGAUUGUAAAGCACUUUAAGUUGGGAGGAAGGGCAGUAAGUUAAUACCUUGCUGUUUUGACGUUACCAACAGAAUAAGCACCGGCUAACUUCGUG